GGCCUGUUAGCUCAGUUGGUUAGAGCGUCGUGCUAAUAACGUGAAGGUCGCAGGUUCCAGACCUGCAUGGGCCA
RNAcentral lists this transfer RNA (74 nucleotides) under Nicotiana sylvestris (wood tobacco). It matches the Rfam family "tRNA". From Rfam's summary of the family: Transfer RNA (tRNA) molecules are approximately 80 nucleotides in length. Their secondary structure includes four short double-helical elements and three loops (D, anti-codon, and T loops). Lineage: Eukaryota; Viridiplantae; Streptophyta; Magnoliopsida; Solanales; Solanaceae. The record is from Rfam by way of RNAcentral.